RNAcentral lists this ribosomal RNA (465 nucleotides) under Vreelandella stevensii. RNAcentral's name for it is "partial 16S ribosomal RNA". It matches the Rfam family "Bacterial small subunit ribosomal RNA", at positions 338 to 795 of the family's 1533-position model. Lineage: Bacteria; Pseudomonadati; Pseudomonadota; Gammaproteobacteria; Oceanospirillales; Halomonadaceae. The record is from RNAcentral.
CCUACGGGAGGCAGCAGUGGGGAAUAUUGGACAAUGGGGGGAACCCUGAUCCAGCCAUACCGCGUGUGUGAAGAAGGCCCUCGGGUUGUAAAGCACUUUCAGUGAGGAAGAACGCCUGGUGGUUAAUACCCAUCAGGAAAGACAUCACUCACAGAAGAAGCACCGGCUAACUCCGUGCCAGCAGCCGCGGUAAUACGGAGGGUGCGAGCGUUAAUCGGAAUUACUGGGCGUAAAGCGCGCGUAGGUGGCUUGAUAAGCCGGUUGUGAAAGCCCCGGGCUCAACCUGGGAACGGCAUCCGGAACUGUCAAGCUAGAGUGCAGGAGAGGAAGGUAGAAUUCCCGGUGUAGCGGUGAAAUGCGUAGAGAUCGGGAGGAAUACCAGUGGCGAAGGCGGCCUUCUGGACUGACACUGACACUGAGGUGCGAAAGCGUGGGUAGCAAACAGGAUUAGAUACCCCAGUAGUC